Molecule: unclassified non-coding RNA, 241 nt
Filed under: uncultured fungus
Lineage: Eukaryota; Fungi
Description: sequence contains ITS1, 5.8S rRNA gene
Rfam family: 5.8S ribosomal RNA (bases 193-241)
Source: RNAcentral
UUUCCGUAGGUGAACCUGCGGAAGGAUCAUUACUGAAUUCAAAGGGAUGUUGCUGGCUUUGGCAUGUGCACUCCCGCUUUUAUAUCCACCUGUGCACUUGGUGUAGAUUUGGAUUGAUUUCUGAGUCUAUGUUUUUCAUAUACACUUUUGAAGUCUUAUGAAUGUGUAUUAGGCUUUGGCCAAAAUUAAUACAACUUUCAACAAUGGAUCUCUUGGCUCUCGCAUCGAUGAAGAACGCAGC